AGCGAACGCUGGCGGCAGGCCUAACACAUGCAAGUCGAACGAACCUUUCGGGGUUAGUGGCGGACGGGUGAGUAACACGUGGGAACGUGCCUUUAGGUUCGGAAUAACUCAGGGGAACUUGUGCUAAUACCGAAUGUGCCCUUCGGGGGGAAGAUUUAUCGCCUUUAGAGCGGCCCGCGUCUGAUUAGCUAGUUGGUUGAGGUAAUGGCUCACCAAGGCGACGAUCAGUAGCUGGUCUGAGAGGAUGAUCAGCCACAUUGGGACUGAGACACGGCCCAAACUCCUACGGGAGGCAGCAGUGGGGAAUCUUGCGCAAUGGGCGAAAGCCUGACGCAGCCAUGCCGCGUGAAUGAUGAAGAUCUUAGGAUUGUAAAAUUCUUUCACCGGGGACGAUAAUGACGGUACCCGGAGAAGAAGCCCCGGCUAACUUCGUG
Molecule: ribosomal RNA, 434 nt
Filed under: uncultured bacterium
Lineage: Bacteria
Description: partial 16S ribosomal RNA
Rfam family: Bacterial small subunit ribosomal RNA
Source: RNAcentral